AACGAACGCUGGCGGCAUGCCUAACACAUGCAAGUCGAACGAGACCAUCGGGUCUGGUGGCGCAGGGGGGCGUAAGGCGGGGGAAUCUGCCCGUAGGUUCGGAAUAACUGCCGGAAAGGGGUGCUAAUACCGGAUAAUACCGCAGGACAAAAGCGUUAACGAGUUUGGAUGGGGCGGAGUUGGAUUAGCUAGUUGGUAGGGUAAAAGCCUACCAAGGCGGCGGUCCACAGCUGGGCAGAGAGGAAGAUCAGCAACACUGGGACUGAGACACGGCCCAGACUCCUACGGGAGGCAGCAGUGGGGAAUAUAGGAAAAUGGGGUGAAGCCUGAUCCAGCUAGGGCGCGAGAGUGAUGAAGGCCUUAGGGUUGUAAAGCUCUUUUAUCCGGGAUGAUAAUGACAGUACCGGGAGAAUAAGCACCGGCUAACUCCGUG
This 433-nucleotide ribosomal RNA is filed under the name uncultured bacterium. Its description in RNAcentral is "partial 16S ribosomal RNA". It matches the Rfam family "Bacterial small subunit ribosomal RNA", at positions 29 to 507 of the family's 1533-position model. The record is from RNAcentral.